This 67-nucleotide transfer RNA is filed under the name Candidatus Magnetovum chiemense. RNAcentral's name for it is "Candidatus Magnetoovum chiemensis tRNA". It matches the Rfam family "tRNA". From Rfam's summary of the family: Transfer RNA (tRNA) molecules are approximately 80 nucleotides in length. Their secondary structure includes four short double-helical elements and three loops (D, anti-codon, and T loops). The record is from Rfam by way of RNAcentral. Lineage: Bacteria; Pseudomonadati; Nitrospirota; Nitrospiria; Nitrospirales; Nitrospiraceae.
GUAGCUCAGUCGGUAGAGCAGAGGAUUGAAAAUCCUUGUGUCGGCAGUUCGAUUCUGUCCUCGGCCA